GAUGAACGCUGGCGGCGUGCCUAAUACAUGCAAGUCGAGCGAACAGAUGAGGAGCUUGCUCCUCUGACGUUAGCGGCGGACGGGUGAGUAACACGUGGAUAACCUACCUAUAAGACUGGGAUAACUUCGGGAAACCGGAGCUAAUAACGGAUAAUAUAUUGAACCGCAUGGUUCAAUAGUGAAAGACGGUUUUGCUGUCACUUAUAGAUGGAGCCGCGACGCAUUAGCUAGUUGGUAAGGUAACGGCUUACCAAGGCAACGAUGCGUAGCCGACCUGAGAGGGUGAUCGGCCACACUGGAACUGAGACACGGUCCAGACUCCUACGGGAGGCAGCAGUAGGGAAUCUUCCGCAAUGGGCGAAAGCCUGACGGAGCAACGCCGCGUGAGUGAUGAAGGUCUUCGGAUCGUAAAACUCUGUUAUUAGGGAAGAACAAAUGUGUAAGUAACUAUGCACGUCUUGACGGUACCUAAUCAGAAAGCCACGGCUAACUACGUG
RNAcentral lists this ribosomal RNA (497 nucleotides) under uncultured bacterium. Its description in RNAcentral is "partial 16S ribosomal RNA". It matches the Rfam family "Bacterial small subunit ribosomal RNA", at positions 28 to 507 of the family's 1533-position model. The record is from RNAcentral.